Molecule: ribosomal RNA, 494 nt
Filed under: uncultured bacterium
Lineage: Bacteria
Description: SSU rRNA
Rfam family: Bacterial small subunit ribosomal RNA
Source: RNAcentral
AGGAUAAACGCUGGCGGCGUGCCUAACACAUGCAAGUCGAACGCUCUUUUCCUUCGCAAGAGGGGGGAGGGAGUGGCGGACGGGUGAGGAACACAUGGGUGACCUACCUUUCAGUGAGGAAUACCGGCGAGAAAUCGCCGACAAGACCGCAUGAGCUUCUCUCGGUGAGCGAGGGAAGGAAAGCUCUUUUUCGUAAUGAGGGAGGGCGCUGGAAGAUGGGCCUGUGGCCGAUUAGCUAGUUGGUGAGGUAACGGCUCACCAAGGCGACGAUCGGUAGCUGGUCUGAGAGGACGAUCAGCCACACUGGGAUUGAGAACGGCCCAGACUCCUACGGGGGGCAGCAGUGAGGAAUUUUCCGCAAUGGGCGCAAGCCUGACGGAGCAACGCCGCGUGCAGGAAGACGGUUUUCGGAUCGUAAACUGCUUUUCGUCGGGACGAGAACGGACGGUACCCGAGGAAUCAGCCCCGGCUAACUACGUGCCAGCAGCCGCGGU